AACGAACGCCGGCGGUAUGCUUAACACAUGCAAGUCGAACGAACAAAAUUGGGGCUUGCUCCAAUUUUAGUGAGUGGCAAACGGGUGGGUAACACGUGGGAAUCUACCUAUCAGUACGGAAUAACAUUUGGAAACAGAUGCUAAUACCGUAUAUUCUCCAAGGAGGAAAGAUUUAUCGCUGAUAGAUGAGCCCGCGCAAGAUUAGGUAGUUGGUAGGGUAAUGGCCUACCAAGCCGACGAUCUUUAGCUGGUCUGAGAGGAUGAUCAGCCACACUGGGACUGAGACACGGCCCAGACUCCUACGGGAGGCAGCAGUGGGGAAUAUUGGACAAUGGGCGAAAGCCUGAUCCAGCAAUACCGCGUGAAUGAUGAAGGCCUUAGGGUUGUAAAGUUCUUUUAGUUGGAAAGAUAAUGACGGUACCAACAGAAAAAGCCCCGGCUAACUCCGUGCCAGCCGCCGCAGUAA
This 466-nucleotide ribosomal RNA is filed under the name uncultured bacterium. Its description in RNAcentral is "partial 16S ribosomal RNA". It matches the Rfam family "Bacterial small subunit ribosomal RNA", at positions 29 to 523 of the family's 1533-position model. The record is from RNAcentral.